This 56-nucleotide transfer RNA is filed under the name Acidobacteriota bacterium. RNAcentral's name for it is "Acidobacteria bacterium (marine metagenome) tRNA-Ser". It matches the Rfam family "tRNA", at positions 20 to 71 of the family's 71-position model. From Rfam's summary of the family: Transfer RNA (tRNA) molecules are approximately 80 nucleotides in length. Lineage: Bacteria; Pseudomonadati; Acidobacteriota. The record is from RNAcentral.
AGAGCAUCCGGCUGUUAACCGGAGGGUUGUUGGUUCGAGUCCAACCUGAGGAGCCA